Molecule: ribosomal RNA, 335 nt
Filed under: uncultured Acidimicrobiales bacterium
Lineage: Bacteria; Bacillati; Actinomycetota; Acidimicrobiia; Acidimicrobiales
Description: bacterial SSU rRNA
Rfam family: Bacterial small subunit ribosomal RNA
Source: RNAcentral
CGAACGCUGGCUCUGUGCCUAAAGAUGCAAGUCGAACGAGGUCCAACCGGUGGCAACACUGGUGAAUACCCAGUGGCGAACGGGUGAGUAACACGUGAGCAACCUGUCCCAAAGACUGGGAUAACCCCGGGAAACCGGAGCUAAUACCGGAUACCCCCACCGGGUCGCAUGGCCUGGUGAGGAAAUGGAUUCCGCUUCGGGAGGGCCUCGCGGCCUAUCAGCUUGUUGGUGGGGUAACGGCCUACCAAGGCGACGACGGGUAGCUGGUCUGAGAGGACGAUCAGCCACACUGGGACUGAGACACGGCCCAGACUCCUACGGGAGGCAGCAGUGGG